AAGAUUUACUAAAUUCAGUCAUGCUGACAGAACCUAAUGCUUUUUGGGUAAGGUAUCAAAUGGCGUGUAGAACUCCAGAACAGAAGGUGGCAGUAGUGUGCGAGCAGGGAGUGCAUUUACAAACUUUACUUCCGGAAGGUGCAGAAGAAGGAAGAGCAACACACAAAGACGCGGGAAGACGGACGAGUUGGGGAUGGAGACAUUCAAGACCAAGUUUCUUCUGUCAUCAAGCAAAACCUGUUUCAUCAACCGAGUGACUGCAGUAUAGGGUCAUCCACCAAAAGUAUUAACUAUCAACGUUGAACACUUGAACAAAAGUGGAUCAGGUUAUCUCUGAUUAUUAUUAUUUUUUAUUUCUGGCAAAAAAAUAGAUUUCAUCUAUCAGUUCACUUUACAAUUCUAUAGUGCAACAAAAUUUUCAAGAAGUGUUUGUUUACAUAGCAACUAGAUCUCUCCUUCACCAUCAUUGAUUGCUCUCUCUCUGGUCAUCACAGAAAUUCAAGACAAUUCAGAACGACAACAUUGAUGCGAAAAGAGAGUGCCUCCGUCAGGCGCUGUCAGACUACCUGAACAAAGACCCGGAGAAAGUGGUGAAAGAACGCAUGGACUCUGAUGUUGACAAGGGUUAAGCUGAAAUGGAGACUGUCUUCGGAGUAUUUGUGAUUCGCAGAGAAGGUGCAGAACGUGAUGAUGGUCCAGAGGAUGUGGGCAUCAUUUUGGAGGGGGUACAAGUCCUCAAUGAGCUGGAACAAACGUCAAAUGAUGUCAGAACUAUUUCCUCAAAAGAGAAACAAUAGGAACUAAUGUCAGACUGCUGAUGCUGUGGGGUUGUGAUCCAUCCAGCUGAAUCCAGAGAAGUCCACCAGCCUCUUUACCUACUCUGCUCUUUUCCUGUUUGCUCACUGUUGGUUCUCCUAUCUUUACCUGCAUGUUUGACCAAAUGAAUUGAAUAGACUUAUGGGAAAGGGUUGGGUUGAAGAUGAAUUAUUGUGCAAGCUGAUUGUGAAGAGUUUUGUGUUUAUGCUGAAUACUCUUGGUUUUUUGAGUAAUGAACGUCUGUGGGUUGACUGAGUUGCUCCUUUUGUGUUUCCUGUUAAUGAGAGCUACGUAGCGUGUGGUGCUGCCGCUGCUAUUUGUUUAGGUGCUGCUGUUCUGUGCCUCUGUAUUUACAUAUGUGUGUGUGUGUGUGUGUGUGUGUGUGUGUGGUUUGGUCACUGCUGUUUGUUCAGCUUCCUCUCAGUCCUGGAGGUUGUCUCCAGGAGAUGAGUAAAAUACUUUUUGUGUGUAUGUUUGCCUGGGGCAAUAGGAGCUAAUGUAAACAGGUGUUUGUCUCGUUUCCAGGUGGAGUUGGUUGAAUGAAUGCAGUGAUGCAGGGCAGAGUCCUUUCUGCUCCGGUUUUGCCAUCUUAGUAACUGUCAACAUAAAAAGAGAUCUAAAUGAUUAAAUGUCCUUAUAUUUUGUUUGCAAGAAUCAGGAACCUAAGGCCUUCAUGACUUGUAAAAGUUUUCUUUUGAACUUGUACAGCUUUUCCCCCCCAUGCUAAGCAUGCUAGGUCAUUGUUCUCCCCAAAAACUGGAAGAAAGUAGGUUAACAUUAGUGAUAGGAUAGGUUAAAAAACAUCUUUCUAAAGUAGAUAAAUAGCAUGUGAAAGUGGAAACAGGAAAGAUGCAUCAUCUCACCACUCAUAUUUACAGUAUUUAGGGGCCAUUAUCAGACUGUUAUCCAAUGAUAAGAUAGGGUAAAAUAUCCCACUGUUUCACGAUGAUGAUGAUGUUUAAAGAAGCAUUUAAAGCUGAAACGUAUUACAUUAUAUUGUUGUAAUCUAAUUUGUUACAGAAGAUGAAAAAACCAUAAACUGUACCAAAUGCUUUCGAGAGAGUAACAUGAGAUAUAAGUCAUGAUGUUCUGCUCAGCUAGAUUUGAAAUUAUUAACGAUCUGUGUUGUUCCACCCAGAGCAAAUCUCUGGAUUUAGGUGCAUCCAACUGUAGCCAUACUACAGGUCCUUCUCAAAAUAUUAGCAUAUUGUGAUAAAGUUCAUUAUUUUCCAUAAUGUCAUGAUGA
Girardinichthys multiradiatus is the source of this 2062-nucleotide long non-coding RNA. RefSeq lists it as uncharacterized. The transcript is spliced from 7 exons. The record is from RefSeq and is a predicted model, not a curated record. Lineage: Eukaryota; Metazoa; Chordata; Actinopteri; Cyprinodontiformes; Goodeidae.